RNAcentral lists this ribosomal RNA (66 nucleotides) under Polypterus retropinnis (West African bichir). The record is from RNAcentral. Lineage: Eukaryota; Metazoa; Chordata; Cladistia; Polypteriformes; Polypteridae.
GAUCUUUCCCCGGCGGCGACUCUGGACGCGCGCCGGGCCCUUCCCGUGGAUCCCUAGUGCGGCCGC